Brienomyrus brachyistius is the source of this 623-nucleotide long non-coding RNA. RefSeq lists it as uncharacterized. The transcript is spliced from 5 exons. The record is from RefSeq and is a predicted model, not a curated record. Lineage: Eukaryota; Metazoa; Chordata; Actinopteri; Osteoglossiformes; Mormyridae.
AAAAUACCUAAGACAGCUGUUUUUAACCACCAUCAAUGACUUCCCAGUUCUUCAAACGGUGGACUUCCCAGAGGAUUAAGAUUCCUGCCUCCCUGCAUUUGACUUCCAGACAUUGCUCCCCCUCUUGUCGGAAGAUCUUCUUCUUCAGAAAACUUCAGGAAUCUGUUUUCUGCCCACUGCACACAUUUCACACGAGCAGCAAAAGCGCGGAGCAAGGUGCAGCUGUCUCAAUAGACUAGGUUUUCUUCCCCUUGUAUAGUUCGGUGAGUACACCAAGAUGGCCUCCACGCUGGCGUAUUCCACCUCGCCAUCUUGGAGAUGCUACGGGUUACGAAGUCUGAUGGCGGCUGGCAGGAACAUCUCAGCCAAUGAGACAAGGAGGUUAAUGGGAAGAAAUGAAAGAAAAGCACAUGAAGAAAACAAAAUGGGCCAAUCAUACAGACUGAAGACCCAGAGCACAGGAGGGAUGCAAACCCUCAACCUUGUGCAUUUCUUGAAAUAUGAAGCAGAUAAACUUCCCACCACACAGUGGCAGAUGCCAAACCGUUUGAUGUGUAAUAGAUUCCAUGUCCACCUCAAAUCGCAAAUCAAUGCUUUCAGAAGAUUAAAGAUCCCAUGCACCC